This 253-nucleotide ribosomal RNA is filed under the name uncultured bacterium. Its description in RNAcentral is "partial 16S ribosomal RNA". It matches the Rfam family "Bacterial small subunit ribosomal RNA", at positions 524 to 776 of the family's 1533-position model. The record is from RNAcentral.
UACGAAGGGGGCUAGCGUUGCUCGGAAUCACUGGGCGUAAAGCGCACGUAGGCGGACUCUUAAGUCGGUGGUGAAAUCCUGGAGCUCAACUCCAGAACUGCCUUCGAUACUGGGAGUCUCGAGUUCGGGAGAGGUGAGUGGAACUGCUAGUGUAGAGGUGAAAUUCGUAGAUAUUCGCAAGAACACCAGUGGCGAAGGCGGCUCACUGGCCCGAUACUGACGCUGAGGUGCGAAAGCGUGGGGAGCGAACAGG